CUUCUGCCUCCUGACAGACUCUGGUGCCUCCCUGAGUGGCCCCCUGUGGUGUGGCACGUCCGCUUCUCUUGGCAUCUAUCCCACAAAUAAGUGAGAACAUGCAAUGCUUGUCUUUCGGUGCCUGGCUUAUUUCACUUGACAUAAUGAUCUCCAGUUCCAUCCAUGUUAUCGCAAAUGACAAGAUCUUCUUUUUCAUGGCUGAAUAGUACUCCAUUGUGUCAAGCAAGAACAGACAUUCAAUGAAUGAAUGCAUUUCUUCAAAGCCCACAAUCCAAGUGAAUAGCAGGAUUCAUCUAUUCAUUCAAGAUGUUUCCUGGAUUCCAGCUCCAUGGAAACUUUUGAGGUAUUAAGCAAGCAAAUAAAAUGCUUUAAGUCUUUGGCUGG
Molecule: long non-coding RNA, 384 nt
Organism: Symphalangus syndactylus (siamang)
Lineage: Eukaryota; Metazoa; Chordata; Mammalia; Primates; Hylobatidae
Source: RefSeq, a predicted model, not a curated record